GGUCUCAUGGUGUAAUGAUCAGCACUUUGGACUUUGAAUCCUGCGAUCCGAGUUCGAAUCUCGGUGAGACCU
Molecule: transfer RNA, 72 nt
Filed under: Dermacentor silvarum
Lineage: Eukaryota; Metazoa; Arthropoda; Arachnida; Ixodida; Ixodidae
Description: transfer RNA glutamine (anticodon UUG)
Rfam family: tRNA
About the family: Transfer RNA (tRNA) molecules are approximately 80 nucleotides in length. Their secondary structure includes four short double-helical elements and three loops (D, anti-codon, and T loops). Further hydrogen bonds mediate the characteristic L-shaped molecular structure. tRNAs have two regions of fundamental functional importance: the anti-codon, which is responsible for specific mRNA codon recognition, and the 3' end, to which the tRNAs corresponding amino acid is attached (by aminoacyl-tRNA synthetases). tRNAs cope with the degeneracy of the genetic code in two manners: having more than one tRNA (with a specific anti-codon) for a particular amino acid; and 'wobble' base-pairing, i.e. permitting non-standard base-pairing at the 3rd anti-codon position.
Source: RNAcentral